AACGAGUGGCGGACGGGUGAGUAACACGUAGGUAACCUGCCCAGAAGCGGGGGACAACAUUUGGAAACAGAUGCUAAUACCGCAUAACAGCGUUGUUCGCAUGAACAUCGCUUAAAAGAUGGCUUCUCGCUAUCACUUCUGGAUGGACCUGCGGUGCAUUAGCUUGUUGGUGGGGUAAUGGCCUACCAAGGCGAUGAUGCAUAGCCGAGUUGAGAGACUGAUCGGCCACAAUGGGACUGAGACACGGCCCAUACUCCUACGGGAGGCAGCAGUAGGGAAUCUUCCACAAUGGGCGCAAGCCUGAUGGAGCAACACCGCGUGAGUGAAGAAGGGUUUCGGCUCGUAAAGCUCUGUUGUUAAAGAAGAACACGUAUGAGAGUAACUGUUCAUACGUUGACGGUAUUUAACCAGAAAGUCACGGCUAACUACGUGCCAGCAGCCGCGGUAAUACGUAGGUGGCAAGCGUUAUCCGGAUUUAUUGGGCGUAAAGAGAGUGCAGGCGGUUUUCUAAGUCUGAUGUGAAAGCCUUCGGCUUAACCGGAGAAGUGCAUCGGAAACUGGAUAACUUGAGUGCACAAGAGGGUAGUGGAACUCCAUGUGUAGCGGUGGAAUGCGUAGAUAUAUGGAAGAACACCAGUGGCGAAGGCGGCUACCUGGUCUGCAACUGACGCUGAGACUCGAAAGCAUGGGUAGCGAACAGGAUUAGAUACCCUGGUAGUCCAUGCCGUAAACGAUGAGUGCUAGGUGUUGGAGGGUUUCCGCCCUUCAGUGCCGGAGCUAACGCAUUAAGCACUCCGCCUGGGGAGUACGACCGCAAGGUUGAAACUCAAAGGAAUUGACGGGGGCCCGCACAAGCGGUGGAGCAUGUGGUUUAAUUCGAAGCUACGCGAAGAACCUUACCAGGUCUUGACAUCUUGCGCCAACCCUAGAGAUAGGGCGUUUCCUUCGGGAACGCAAUGACAGGUGGUGCAUGGUCGUCGUCAGCUCGUGUCGUGAGAUGUUGGGUUAAGUCCCGCAACGAGCGCAACCCUUGUUACUAGUUGCCAGCAUUAAGUUGGGCACUCUAGUGAGACUGCCGGUGACAAACCGGAGGAAGGUGGGGACGACGUCAGAUCAUCAUGCCCCUUAUGACCUGGGCUACACACGUGCUACAAU
This 1155-nucleotide ribosomal RNA is filed under the name Limosilactobacillus fermentum. RNAcentral describes it as "bacterial SSU rRNA". It matches the Rfam family "Bacterial small subunit ribosomal RNA", at positions 90 to 1231 of the family's 1533-position model. The record is from RNAcentral. Lineage: Bacteria; Bacillati; Bacillota; Bacilli; Lactobacillales; Lactobacillaceae.